AUGAAUGUCCUGCAGAUCUGCUCAGUGAUCUGCUCUUUUGUCAGCCUUCUGCUGUUCCUUAUAUCCCUUUGCUCAAACUACUGGGUGGUAAAUAGUACUGUGCAUGCGGGUCUUUGGAGGUAUUGUGUCUUGAAUGCUUGUUCUUUAUUUGGGAUGAAGCUGGGAGCUGCAGGCCACGCUGUUCGAGCUUUUAUGCUGCUGGGGAUGAUUGCUGGUGCCGUCUCUUUCUUUGGUCUUUGCUCCUCAUUCUUUAAAUCUAAAGUCAGCUCCAUGUCCCUGAUCAAGACCUCAGCUAACGCCAGUAUCCUUGCAGCACUUUGUGUCAUGAUUGCCAUGGCCAUUUUCACAGGAGCUUCAUCUGCCCCAGGAUUUGUUUACGGCUGGUCUUUCAUCUUCGGAUGGGCUUCUUUUCCUCUGUUUCUGAUAACAGGUGUGGUGACUAACCUAUCACGAAGUCGAUCAUAGGAGUGAUCAUGCAGAAAAGGUGCUGAAGCUUUGUGAGAUGACACAAAUUACAAGCAUUUGCAGACGACUUGGUGUUUAUUUUGGAAGAUCCAUUGGGAACAACAUUGAGACUACUGGAGAAAAUUGAUGAAUUCAGAGAAAUAGCAAGACUGAAGAUAAACCAAGAAAAAACUAAAGUUAUGGAGCUAAACAAAAAAUAAACUCUCAGAGACAUCAGACCUACA
Molecule: long non-coding RNA, 689 nt
Filed under: Pogona vitticeps (central bearded dragon)
Lineage: Eukaryota; Metazoa; Chordata; Lepidosauria; Squamata; Agamidae
Description: lncRNA (ENSPVIG00000006281.1)
Source: RNAcentral